CCUANGGGAGGCAGCAGUAGGGAAUUUUGCGCAAUGGACGAAAGUCUGACGCAGCAACGCCGCGUGAGUGAUGAAGGUCUUCGGAUUGUAAAGCUCUGUUGAGUGGGAAGAAAAGUUUCGGGAAUAAUACCCUGGAACGUGAUGGUACCAUUCGAGUAAGCACCGGCUAACUACGUGCCAGCAGCCGCGGUAAUACGUAGGGUGCAAGCGUUGUUCGGAAUCACUGGGCGUAAAGGGAGAGUAGGCGGGAAAAUAAGUUAGGAGUUUAAUAUAUCGGCUUAACCGAUAAUCUGCUUCUAAUACUGUUUUUCUUGAGUAUGGGAGAGGGAAAUGGAAUUCCAGGUGUAGCGGUGGAAUGCGUAGAUAUCUGGAAGAACACCAGCUGCGAAGGCGGUUUCCUGGCCCAAUACUGACGCUGAGGCUCGAAAGCUAGGGGAGCAAACAGGAUUAGAUACCCUANUANUC
RNAcentral lists this ribosomal RNA (465 nucleotides) under uncultured bacterium. RNAcentral's name for it is "bacterial SSU rRNA". It matches the Rfam family "Bacterial small subunit ribosomal RNA", at positions 338 to 795 of the family's 1533-position model. The record is from RNAcentral.